Apodemus sylvaticus (European woodmouse) is the source of this 133-nucleotide small nucleolar RNA. RefSeq annotates it as small nucleolar RNA SNORA17. The transcript has a single exon. The record is from RefSeq and is a predicted model, not a curated record. Lineage: Eukaryota; Metazoa; Chordata; Mammalia; Rodentia; Muridae.
UAUCACCCUUAGAGUGGUUGCAGGUAUGAAUGCUCUGCCAAAUGUGCAUCAGUAGGUGAGAGAGAAGAAAGAGGCUAUGUCUACCCUCACUGUUCUGAUCUGCAAACACAUGAAAGAUUAGUAGCCUAACAUU